UUACUAUGAUAGCGUGUCGGAUUAUUGGGCGUAAGCGCGCGCAGGUGGUUCCUUAAGUCUGAUGUGAAAGCCCACGGCUCAACCGUGGAGGGUCAUUGGAAACUGGGGAACUUGAGUGCAGAAGAGGAAAGUGGAAUUCCAAGUGUAGCGGUGAAAUGCGUAGAGAUUUGGAGGAACACCAGUGGCGAAGGCGACUUUCUGGUCUGUAACUGACACUGAGGCGCGAAAGCGUGGGGAGCAAACAGGAUUAGAUACCCUGGUAGUCCACGCCGUAAACGAUGAGUGCUAAGUGUUAGAGGGUUUCCGCCCUUUAGUGCUGCAGCUAACGCAUUAAGCACUCCGCCUGGGGAGUACGGCCGCAAGGCUGAAACUCAAAGGAAUUGACGGGGGCCCGCACAAGCGGUGGAGCAUGUGGUUUAAUUCGAAGCAACGCGAAGAACCUUACCAGGUCUUGACAUCCUCUGACAACCCUAGAGAUAGGGCUUUCCCCUUCGGGGGACAGAGUGACAGGUGGUGCAUGGUUGUCGUCAGCUCGUGUCGUGAGAUGUUGGGUUAAGUCCCGCAACGAGCGCAACCCUUGAUCUUAGUUGCCAGCAUUCAGUUGGGCACUCUAAGGUGACUGCCGGUGACAAACCGGAGGAAGGUGGGGAUGACGUCAAAUCAUCAUGCCCCUUAUGACCUGGGCUACACACGUGCUACAAUGGAUGGUACAAAGGGCUGCACACCUGCGAAGGUAAGCGAAUCCCAUAAAGCCAUUCUCAGUUCGGAUUGCAGGCUGCAACUCGCCUGCAUGAGCCGGAAUCGCUAGUAAUCGCGGAUCAGCAUGCCGCGUGAAUACGUUCCCGGGCCCUUGUACACACCGCCCGUCACACCACGAGAGUUUGUAGCACCCGAAGUCGUGACGUAACCUUCAUGGAGCCAGUCAGCCUAUGUGGGACAGAUGAUUGGGGUGAGUCGUACCAAAGUAAACACA
Molecule: ribosomal RNA, 973 nt
Filed under: Bacillus sp. (in: firmicutes)
Lineage: Bacteria; Bacillati; Bacillota; Bacilli; Caryophanales; Bacillaceae
Description: bacterial SSU rRNA
Rfam family: Bacterial small subunit ribosomal RNA
Source: RNAcentral